RNAcentral lists this ribosomal RNA (711 nucleotides) under Providencia stuartii. RNAcentral's name for it is "bacterial SSU rRNA". It matches the Rfam family "Bacterial small subunit ribosomal RNA", at positions 796 to 1504 of the family's 1533-position model. The record is from RNAcentral. Lineage: Bacteria; Pseudomonadati; Pseudomonadota; Gammaproteobacteria; Enterobacterales; Morganellaceae.
CGGACGUUCGAUGUCGACUAUGCCAGGUUGUUCCCUUGAGGUAGUUAGCUUCCGCGAGCUAACGCGAUAAAUCGACCGCCUGGGGAGUACGGCCGCAAGGUUAAAACUCAAAUGAAUUGACGGGGGCCCGCACAAGCGGUGGAGCAUGUGGUUUAAUUCGAUGCAACGCGAAGAACCUUACCUACUCUUGACAUCCUGAGAAUUUUCCAGAGAUGCUUUGGUGCCUUCGGGAACUCUGACACAGGUGCUGCAUGGCUGUCGUCAGCUCGUGUUGUGAAAUGUUGGGUUAAGUCCCGCAACGAGCGCAACCCUUAUCCUUUGUUGCCAGCGAUUCGGGCGGGAACUCUAAGGAGACUGCCGGUGAUAAACCGGAGGAAGGUGGGGAUGACGUCAAGUCAUCAUGGCCCUUACGAGUAGGGCUACACACGUGCUACAAUGGCGGAUACAAAGAGAAGCGACCUCGCGAGAGGAAGCGGAACUCAUAAAACACAUCGUAGUCCGGAUUGGAGUCUGCAACUCGACUCCAUGAAGUCGGAAUCGCUAGUAAUCGUAAAUCAGAAUGCUACGGUGAAUACGUUCCCGGGCCUUGUACACACCGCCCGUCACACCAUGGGAGUGGGUUGCUCCAGAAGUAGGUAGCUUAACCUUCGGGAGGGCGCUUACCACUUUGUGAUCCAUGACUGGGGUGAAGUCGUAACAAGGGUAACCGGC